RNAcentral lists this ribosomal RNA (556 nucleotides) under Pestalotiopsis sp. RNAcentral's name for it is "partial large subunit ribosomal RNA". It matches the Rfam family "Eukaryotic large subunit ribosomal RNA", at positions 77 to 655 of the family's 3401-position model. The record is from RNAcentral. Lineage: Eukaryota; Fungi; Ascomycota; Sordariomycetes; Amphisphaeriales; Sporocadaceae.
GCCUUAGUAACGGCGAGUGAAGCGGCAACAGCUCAAAUUUGAAAUCUGGCCCUCGGGUCCGAAUUGUAAUUUGUAGAGGAUGAUUUUGGUGCGGUAUCUUCCGAGUUCCUUGGAACAGGACGCCUUAGAGGGUGAGAGCCCCGUACGGUUGAAUGCCUAGCCUCUGUAAAUCUCCUUCGACGAGUCGAGUAGUUUGGGAAUGCUGCUCUAAAUGGGAGGUAAAUUUCUUCUAAAGCUAAAUAUUGGCCAGAGACCGAUAGCGCACAAGUAGAGUGAUCGAAAGAUGAAAAGCACUUUGAAAAGAGGGUUAAAUAGCACGUGAAAUUGUUGAAAGGGAAGGAUUUGUGACCAGACUUUUUCUGGGCGGAUCAUCCGGGGUUCUCUCCGGUGCACUUUGCCCAGUAAAGGCCAGCAUCGAUUUUCGGCGGCGGAUAAAAGCAGUGGGAAUGUGGCUCCCUACGGGGAGUGUUAUAGCCCAUUGUAUAAUACGCUGCUGGGGAUCGAGGUACGCGCUUCUGCAAGGAUGCUGGCGUAAUGGUUAUCAAUCACCCGUCUU